This 2491-nucleotide long non-coding RNA is filed under the name Oryza sativa (Asian cultivated rice). RNAcentral's name for it is "long non-coding RNA (OSAT_LNC000254)". Lineage: Eukaryota; Viridiplantae; Streptophyta; Magnoliopsida; Poales; Poaceae. The record is from RNAcentral.
UCAGUUCUUCCACCGUCAGCCCGGCCCAUGUCGAAGGCCAGGCCGAUCUGAACCAUCGCCAUCCUCGCCGUCCGGCCACCGCCCACCGGCAAACGGCGGCCUCGCUCCCGCUCCGGCGGGCUGCGGGGGCAGAGGCAGGCCGCGGGAGACCGAGAGGCCUACCGUCCGGUGACUCCUAGCUCGAGGCCACCCGCGGGCUAUGCUCCUGAUUCCUGAGGUAAAUCAAAGCUAGUGGAGUACCAUGGCUUGGUUGAUUCUCCAGUGUUGUUUAGAGAUCGGGGAAGGUGGCUUCAAAUGCUUGGUUGAGAUUUAUGGCGUUUCUCGAUGCGGUAUUGCAGUGUCGUUUGGUUGCGGAUUAGCGGCCCGCGCGUGGUGGAUUGGAGAUACAGCACUCGAAAUAUAGUCACAACUUGAUACUGCAGGUACAUUUGUAUUCAUGCAUAAUCGUGACAUGAUUCGGUUACUAUCAGAUUUCAGUUUAUUUUAGUUCCUUCCAGUUUUCUACUUAUUGAAGCAGAUUGUAUUAACUCAAUUUCACUACUACAUCACAAAGCUGGACAAUCAAGUAAGUUUUGCCUGGCCUGGGGUGUCAAUAUGUCAUCUUGCUGGGGCUGGAGCCACUGAAUUAGCCUUGCUGAAGUGAGAACCACUUGAGAUCACUAGCCACUGCUUAUCUUCUAACCAGCAUGGCACAUUAUUUAUCGACUUGAUCAUAACUGGUUUAGCCAAAAUAUCUGGGCAUGGUUAUCUGAUCAUAUAGCACACCUACUCCAAAGAACACACCAAAUGCAAUUGCAAACACUACCUUGUCAAUAUACUGCUUUGCGGAGAUAGGGGUUGUUGGAGCUGCUACCGCUGAAUUGCAAUGGUGUUCAAGCAUAGGGCUGCAUAGCUUUGGGUUCCCAGCAAAACUAGAACUUAGGAAUGUGCUGAACUGGCCUCCAAUUGGUACAGGCCCUUCAAGGUCAUUGUAGGAAACAUUGAAUUCAGAAAGGAAAUGAAGGUUCACCAGCCCUGAUGGGAUUGGACCUGUCAGAUGGUUGGAAGACAGGUCUAGCACCAUCAGAUUCUUGAGGUUGCUGAUCGCUUGUGGGAUCUCCCCGUUUAAGUUGUUGAAGCUCAAGUUGAGUGAAAGCAGUUCUUUCAACUGACCAAUCUCCAUGGGGAUCACACCACUUAAUUUGUUGUUACCUAGAUUCAACAUUUUUGGGAAUGCACUAGUCGCACGGUACUGAAAACACAAACAUGCGCCCACAUAAACUGUAAAAGGGGAGACUAUUAGGUCAGGGUGAUCUUCAAUCUUGUCCGAUUUUAGCAUUGGCAUCUGCAUCAAUGCUGUUGGUAUUUCUCCAGUGAGGCUAUUAUUCGAUAUGUCAACAUACUUAAGGAAGUUAAGGCUACUGAUCCAGGUUGGUAUUGGUCCACUGAGUUGAUUGUUAUAUAAUGCUAAAAGUUGCAAACUUCUGAGCUUUGAUAGCCAAUUAGGUAUUUUUCCAGUCAGUGCACAAUCAUUUAUGCCGAGACCCUGAAUAUUCUUAAAACCAUCAAUUGUUUCAUCCUCUGGCAUAGCUUCAUGCAUGAAGUUGCCACCGAGUAGCAAGACAGUGAGAUUCCUUAAGUUCUUCAAUAUGUGGAGUGUAUUUGUAAUAUUUUUAAAAUUGUUGUAGGAAAGAGAUAUGAAGGUGAUGGACUUCAAAUUUUCUAUUUUCUUUGUCAACUCUCCAUGAAGCUUGUUUGUGGAUAGCCGCAACCAAGUCAAAUUACUGCAUGAGUAGAUGCUUUCUGGAAUUGUGCCAAUGAAGUAAUUUGAAGAUAAAUCUAAAAUUUUCAGAUUGGGCAAGGUGGAGAAGUUAACCUUGGCAAGCUCUCCCUUCAACUUAUUUUUCUUGAGGUUGAUAGUAACUAGAUUUGUGCAAUCACCCAAGGUUGGUGGCAGCUCUCCAGAUAUGUUGUUUUCUUCCAUGUGAAGUUCUUCUAGUCUCUUCAGUUGACCUAUAGAAUCUGGGAUUUUGCCACUGAAUCUGUUCCCACCGAGAUCAAGAAAACCUAGAUUACUGAGCUUUAUCAUUAGUGCAUCGUCAAUUAUUCCUUGCAAGUGGUUAUUAGGAAAGGAGAGGUACUCCAAUGAGGUGGCUCUGAAGAGAUCAUCUGGCAGGGUCCCAAUGAUGUUGUUUUGGCCAACCCUGAGCAUUCUAAGGGAGGAGCAUUUACCUAUUCCAGGGGGGAUGCUGCCACUGAAUUGGUUGUAAGAAAGGUCAAGCACAGCAAAGGAUGGUGAGCUGAUGCAGAAAGAGGAAGGUAUGUGCCCACUAAAACUGUUGUUGCUCGCAUUGAUUGCUACCAGGUUGCUCAUUUUCUCCCAUGUUGUGGAGGGAAAUGCUCCCGUAAACAGGUUGCUUGAGAUAUUCAGUACCUGGAGAGGCCGGUCAGGUGAUGACGAAUUCAGCUCCUGCAAUUCUCCAUCCAGGCGGUUGAAGCUGACAUCAAGGAC